AAAGAAAAUUUAAAAAGCAACUGCUUACAGGACAUACAGGAAAGAAUUAAAAAAUAGGGACAGCAAACAAACAGACACAGAAAGAAAAUGUUAAAAGUGAGAUGGUACAGGACAGAGGAUAAAAUUAAAAAACAAAGACAUGAAUAGGUUAAAGUAGACAUAGAAAGAAAAAGUAAAAAGCAACGGGGUACACAAUAGUGAGGAAAGAAUUAAAAAACAGUGAUACACAGCUCGAUAGAAGUAGACAUAGAAGGAAAAUUUAAGAAGUGAUUGGGUACAGGACAGAAAAAAUUUUAAAAAUAGCCACAGUGAACUAAAACUGAGAAAUAUAAAGGAAAUUUAAAAGUAUCACAGGGGCACAGGACAGAGAGAUAAAAAAUAAA
Molecule: long non-coding RNA, 383 nt
Organism: Harpia harpyja (harpy eagle)
Lineage: Eukaryota; Metazoa; Chordata; Aves; Accipitriformes; Accipitridae
Exons: 2
Source: RefSeq, a predicted model, not a curated record